This 470-nucleotide ribosomal RNA is filed under the name Lysinibacillus sphaericus. Its description in RNAcentral is "partial 16S ribosomal RNA". The record is from RNAcentral. Lineage: Bacteria; Bacillati; Bacillota; Bacilli; Caryophanales; Bacillaceae.
GAGGUAUAAUGGUCGACGAAUGAACGAAGUUGCUCUCUGAUUUACCGGGCGUGACGGGAGUAACACGUGGAGCAACCUACCUUAUAGGGGGGAUAACUCCUGGAAACCGGGGCUAAUACCAAUAAUCUUUUCACUUCAUGGUGGAAAGACUGAAAGACGGUUCUCAUUGUACUUGGAUGGGCCCUUGGGGCUAUCCCCUUGGGGGGGCCAGUCCCAGGCCAUUUGCCCACCUUAAAGGGGGUUUUUGGGCUUGAUUUAAGGGCCCACUUCUGGGGGGGGAACGGGGAUUUUCCCCAAGGGAAAUUUUUGGGGAACCCCUUAAGGGGGGAAGGUUUGGGCUUAAACCCCUUUUAGGGAGGAAACUCCAAACCAAUCUUUCCCGGGGCCCCUUUGGGAAAACCGUUUUUUUAAGGGGCAAGGGGAGGAAAAACCUUGGGGGGGAUUGCCGAAAUUUGGGCCAAAGGUCCCCC